RNAcentral lists this ribosomal RNA (924 nucleotides) under uncultured Bacteroidota bacterium. Its description in RNAcentral is "bacterial SSU rRNA". It matches the Rfam family "Bacterial small subunit ribosomal RNA", at positions 1 to 916 of the family's 1533-position model. Lineage: Bacteria; Pseudomonadati; Bacteroidota. The record is from RNAcentral.
GGAUCCAGACUUUGAUCCUGGCUCAGGAUGAACGCUAGCUACAGGCUUAACACAUGCAAGUCGAGGGGAAACGACAUCGAAAGCUUGCUUUUGAUGGGCGUCGACCGGCGCACGGGAGAGUAACGCGUAUCCAACCUGCCCACCACUUGGGGAUAACCUUGCGAAAGUAAGACUAAUACCCAAUGACAUCCCACGAAGGCAUCCGAAUGGGAUUAAAGAUUUAUCGGUGAUGGAUGGGGAUGCGUCUGAUUAGCUUGUUGGCGGGGUAACGGCCCACCAAGGCAACGAUCAGUAGGGGUUCUGAGAGGAAGGUCCCCCACAUUGGAACUGAGACACGGUCCAAACUCCUACGGGAGGCAGCAGUGAGGAAUAUUGGUCGAUGGGCGAGAGCCUGAACCAGCCAAGUAGCGUGCAGGAAGACGGCCCUAUGGGUUGUAAACUGCUUUUAUAAGGGAAUAAAGUGGGUCACGUGUGACUUUUUGCAUGUACCUUAUGAAUAAGGACCGGCUAAUUCCGUGCCAGCAGCCGCGGUAAUACGGAAGGUCCGGGCGUUAUCCGGAUUUAUUGGGUUUAAAGGGAGCGUAGGCCGGAGAUUAAGCGUGUUGUGAAAUGUAGAGGCUCAACCUCUGCACUGCAGCGCGAACUGGUCUUCUUGAGUACGCACAACGUGGGCGGAAUUCGUGGUGUAGCGGUGAAAUGCUUAGAUAUCACGAAGAACUCCGAUUGCGAAGGCAGCUCACGGGAGCGCAACUGACGCUGAAGCUCGAAAGUGCGGGUAUCGAACAGGAUUAGAUACCCUGGUAGUCCGCACGGUAAACGAUGGAUGCCCGCUGUUGGCCUGAAUAGGUCAGCGGCCAAGCGAAAGCAUUAAGCAUCCCACCUGGGGAGUACGCCGGCAACGGUGCAACUCAAAUGAAUUGACGG